Molecule: ribosomal RNA, 231 nt
Filed under: uncultured bacterium
Lineage: Bacteria
Description: partial 16S ribosomal RNA
Rfam family: Bacterial small subunit ribosomal RNA
Source: RNAcentral
UGGGCAACCUGCCCCUAGCUCUGGGAUAACUGCGGGAAACUGUAGCUAAUACCGGAUGUGACACGAGACUGCAUGGGGAAGGGUUGAAAGCUCCGGCGGUGCAGGAUGAGCCCGCGGCCUAUCAGCUUGUUGGUGGGGUGAUGGCCUACCAAGGCGACGACGGGUAGCCGGCCUGAGAGGGCGACCGGCCACACUGGGACUGAGACACGGCCCAGACUCCUACGGGAGGNA